RNAcentral lists this ribosomal RNA (254 nucleotides) under uncultured bacterium. RNAcentral describes it as "partial 16S ribosomal RNA". It matches the Rfam family "Bacterial small subunit ribosomal RNA", at positions 524 to 776 of the family's 1533-position model. The record is from RNAcentral.
UACGGGGGGAGCAAGCGUUGUUCGGAUUUACUGGGCGUAAAGGGCGCGUAGGCGGCCAGCACAAGUCAGUUGUGAAAUCUCCGAGCUUAACUCGGAAAGGUCAACUGAUACUGUGCGGCUAGAGUGCGGAAGGGGCAACUGGAAUUCCAGGUGUAGCGGUGAAAUGCGUAGAUAUCUGGAGGAACACCGGUGGCGAAGGCAGCUCGCUGGGACGGUACUGACGCUGAGGCGCGAAAGCGUGGGGAGCGAACAGG